This 463-nucleotide ribosomal RNA is filed under the name uncultured bacterium. Its description in RNAcentral is "partial 16S ribosomal RNA". It matches the Rfam family "Bacterial small subunit ribosomal RNA", at positions 28 to 507 of the family's 1533-position model. The record is from RNAcentral.
GAUGAACGCUGACAGAAUGCUUAACACAUGCAAGUCUUUGGCGAAUCUGUGCUUGCACAUGUUAGCCAAGUCGGACGGGUGAGUAACGCGUAAAGAACUUGCCCUGCAGACAGGGAUAACAGACGGAAACGACUGAUAACACCUGAUACAAUUGCCUGCGCGCAUGUGCGUGGCAAUAAAAAGAGAUGCUGCAGGAGAGCUUUACGUACUAUUAGCUUGCUGGUGAGGUGACUGCUCACCUAGGCGAUGAUAGGUAGCCCGCCUGAGAGGGUGCACGGCCACGAGGGGAAUGAGAUACGGCACUUACGCCUACGGGAGGAAGCAGUGGAGAAUAUUGGACAAAGGGGGCAACCGUGAUCAAGCAAUUCUGUGUGCACGAAGAAGGUUUUCGGAUUGUAAAGUGCUUUAAGCAGGGAAGAAGAAAGUGACGGUACCUGAAGAGGAAGCGACGGCUAAAUACGUG